AUGUUCAUCAAAAAUACCAACCUACGACACCCCAGUCGCCACCAUGAAUUAUUUCUGCCUAGUCGACCCUACAAGGGAGAACCGCCGGCAGUGGCAGGAUUUCUCCUUUACCCGGAUACUCCUGCUAAGAUGGAGACCACAUCAAGAGAGGCUUUCUGCUUUCGACCCGUUGAACAACGAGACAGGGACAAAGGAGUUCAUAUCCUCCAGAAAACACAGCUGGAGUCCCGCCGUUCUUGUCCCACAUCCUCGAGACAAACAGGACGAGGAACCAGCAGCAGGGACGGGGAACCCGGGGAGGACGAGCAAGAAGGCAACCGUGAUCAGACGGGGUCGACAGCAGUGAAAACUGAACCAGAUUCAAUAGAGAUGCAGUCUCAGUAUCAGAAGGACUUCCCUCCUCCGACUUCCUGCCGCAGGAGACGAACACCUGCCCUCCCACAGCCAGACAACAUCGGCAUCAACCCUGCCUUCAGGAUUGAGUUUAGCACGGUCCAAAGAGAGACUUUCCCUGGUUGGCCAAUCAUAAAUCCCAGGUAUGCUGGGAGGAUGAGAGCAGCUUUGUCCAGACAACCAAACAUGAUUUCUGAGUAA
This 594-nucleotide long non-coding RNA is filed under the name Dicentrarchus labrax (European seabass). Its description in RNAcentral is "lncRNA (ENSDLAG00005029404.1)". Lineage: Eukaryota; Metazoa; Chordata; Actinopteri; Moronidae. The record is from RNAcentral.